Long non-coding RNA from Ornithodoros turicata, 150 nucleotides. RefSeq lists it as uncharacterized. NCBI's taxonomy places the organism in Eukaryota, Metazoa, Arthropoda, Arachnida, Ixodida, Argasidae. The transcript has 2 exons. The record is from RefSeq and is a predicted model, not a curated record.
UUUCAUUCUGUGGAUGUAGUACGAUUCAUUGUGCGACUUGGUUUUGCAGAAAUAUCCGCCUCAACAUAAAGUGCUGGUCCAGGAUUUCUUCAACAUUGAGUUGGAUCAUCGAACAUUUCUCUUGAAAUAUUACUUGAACUGUGUUAUCAG